RNAcentral lists this ribosomal RNA (588 nucleotides) under uncultured bacterium. Its description in RNAcentral is "bacterial SSU rRNA". It matches the Rfam family "Bacterial small subunit ribosomal RNA", at positions 338 to 916 of the family's 1533-position model. The record is from RNAcentral.
CCUACGGGAGGCAGCAGUAGGGAAUCUUCCGCAAUGGACGAAAGUCUGACGGAGCAACGCCGCGUGAACGAUGAAGGCCUUCGGGUCGUAAAGUUCUGUUGUUAGGGAAGAACAAGUGCUAGUUGAAUAAGCUGGCACCUUGACGGUACCUAACCAGAAAGCCACGGCUAACUACGUGCCAGCAGCCGCGGUAAUACGUAGGUGGCAAGCGUUGUCCGGAAUUAUUGGGCGUAAAGCGCGCGCAGGCGGUUUCUUAAGUCUGAUGUGAAAGCCCCCGGCUCAACCGGGGAGGGUCAUUGGAAACUGGGAAACUUGAGUGCAGAAGAGGAAAGUGGAAUUCCAAGUGUAGCGGUGAAAUGCGUAGAGAUUUGGAGGAACACCAGUGGCGAAGGCGACUUUCUGGUCUGUAACUGACGCUGAGGCGCGAAAGCGUGGGGAGCAAACAGGAUUAGAUACCCUGGUAGUCCACGCUGUAAACGAUGAGUGCUAAGUGUUAGAGGGUUUCCGCCCUUUAGUGCUGAAGUUAACGCAUUAAGCACUCCGCCUGGGGAGUACGGUCGCAAGACUGAAACUUAAAUGAAUUGACGG